GUGAGGAAUAUUGAGCAAUGGGCGCAAGCCUGACUCAGCAACGCCGCGUGGAUGAUGAAGGCCUUCGGGUUGUAAAAUCCUUUUCUGGGGAACGAUAAUGACGGUACCCCAGGAAUAAGUCCCGGCUAACUACGUGCCAGCAGCCGCGGUAAAACGUAGGGGGCGAGCGUUAUCCGGAUUUAUUGGGCGUAAAGCGCACGUAGGCGGCGCUGAAAGUUGGACGUGAAAGCUCCUGGCUUAACUGGGAGAGGUCGUUCAAUACUACAGGGCUUGAGGUUGGAAGAGGAGAGCGGAAUUCCCGGUGUAGUGGUGGAAUGCGUAGAUAUCGGGAGGAACUCCAGUGGCGAAAGCGGCUCUCUGGUCCACCCCUGACGCUGAGGUGCGAAAGCGUGGGGAGCGAACGGGAUUAGAAACCCUAGUAGUCC
Molecule: ribosomal RNA, 425 nt
Filed under: uncultured bacterium
Lineage: Bacteria
Description: bacterial SSU rRNA
Rfam family: Bacterial small subunit ribosomal RNA
Source: RNAcentral